GGCUGAGGGGGCGGGCUGAGGGGACGGGCUGAGGGGACGGGCUGAGGGGACGGGCUGAGGUGAGCGGCCGGUCCGGCCCCAGCCUCCCCGCCCGCCGCAGGCCCCCGCCCGCCGACGGCGCCUCCUCCUGCCCGAGAGGCUUCCCCCGGAGACCCCCUGUCAGGGUUGCAUAUGCAUGGAAGUAUGUAGUCUUCUGUCCCGGCAUCUUCAGAAAGAAGAUCAGUAUUUUAUGUGCAGUCUUCACUGGGGCUAUUAAAAUUUAAUGGAAAAUGCAGGCAAUGAGGAGGAGAAACUGAAAAAUAAGGUCUAGGGACAGCCAGCCAGUAGUUA
RNAcentral lists this long non-coding RNA (330 nucleotides) under Calidris pugnax (ruff). Its description in RNAcentral is "lncRNA (ENSCPUG00000002693.1)". Lineage: Eukaryota; Metazoa; Chordata; Aves; Charadriiformes; Scolopacidae. The record is from RNAcentral.